Molecule: non-coding RNA, 7644 nt
Organism: Delphinapterus leucas (beluga whale)
Lineage: Eukaryota; Metazoa; Chordata; Mammalia; Artiodactyla; Monodontidae
Source: RefSeq, a predicted model, not a curated record
UAGGAGGAGUAAUGCGUGCUGGAGAACGUAGUCCCCCAGGUUCCCGUUUGGUCCUAGCCUGCCUCACUUUCGUCAAGAGAACUUUCCCAUCUAGUUCUGCCUGUUGAAGAAGGGACUCUUUACAGAGAGGCUCAGACCAUGCUGUCCACAGUCCAAGGCUGCCCUAGGAGAUAACGUUUAAACACACCAGAGCCUGAAGUGGGUGAUCAAUAACCCGGGAGGUGACGCGCUCAGGCCAGGAGGCCCUGGGAGAGAGUGCUGCGGGGAUGCCAGGGGUCCACACCUGGGAAGACGAAGAUGAAGCAGGCGGCCAGUCCUCCAAUGACCGAGAUGACCUUGCCGAUGUCAGGGAUGAAGAGCGCCAGCAGCAGGGUAAGCAGGAACCAGACCAGCGUCUGCAGUACUCGCCGCCGCCGCUCCCGCCCCACGUCCUCCUCCACCGGCAUCCCCUGGUAGCGCAGCCACAGGCCUUCGACCACCGCCCUGCCCACACAGAGAGCGGCUCAGAGGCGCCGCUGCUAACAGCUCCCCACCUCCAGCCAGGGAGCCAGACCCCCGACUGGGUGGAUUGUAGGUAAGACUCUAACCCCUGGGCCUCAGUUUCCUCUUCUUUGAAAUGGGCCUAGCGGCACUCUUCUCAGGGUUGCCGUGGGGACUGGACGGGAUGGUGAAUGGGAACGGCUUAGUGCCUUGCCUGGCCCAGGACUAGCACACCCCAUGGAAACAUAUACUACUAGUCUCCUGAAAAGGAAGGGUCUGGGGUACCCAGAAAGCAGGGUGUUCAGGAAAGGAUCUGGACUAGAGGUUCUCAGAGGACUCACAGAAUGUUCUGGUGACUCUGGGACAAAGGGGACCCCCAAAGACCUGGCUGGGAGUACUUGCAGGGCCAUGCGAGGCACUGACUCUUUCCUCUGGGCUUCCAGUUCUCCUUCUAUAAAAUGGAUUCUACACAAGGCCCAUGUUCAAAGGGCUUUCAGAGGCCCUGGUGAAAGGGAGCACCCCGGUGGGGUGGAGAGGGGACUCACCGCCCACAGAAGUGCAGGAUGGGGUAGGAGGUUAGCACGCUCAGGAUGAUGAAGGCGCGGGCGACGGCCACAGCCAUGUCCUCCGAUGGGUAGGACAGGAGCACAUCGGGGUCCACAGCAGCUCCAAAGGUCAGGAAGCCACAGAUGCCUGAGGGCAGGGACAAGAGGGCUGGGUCCAGGAGACCCUCGGAGGGUUAGGGCCAUGGACUGUUCACUGCUGGGUCCAGCAGCAGGUGGGGAGAUGACGGAGCAGCUCUGCAGGCUAAGACUGAGGCUCAGAGGGGUGCCGAGGCUGGGAUCAGAAGCCUCCCUCCCUGACUUCUCACAUCUCCCACCCCCACACCGUCACCUUUCUGACCUUGAACUCACCCAGCAGUUCCUGUCUCAGAGCUUCCGCAUUAACGUUCUGUCUGCCCAUCUCCUCAUCAUUUAGGUCUCAGCUCCGUUGUCCCCUCCUCAGAGAAUGCUUCCCCGCCCAGCCCGUCCACAAUAAUCCCUGCCCCCAGGCACUCCCUCAUACCACCCUGUUCUGUGUUCCUCAGAGCACUCCUCUCUCUUGGAACUUCUUUUUUUUUACUUGUUUAUUGUCUGUCGCCCCAGGAGAACGGGACUCUGCCUAUUUGCCACCCUUGUUCCUGGCUGUGUCUUCAGAAACCAGAACAGUGCUGGUCCUGAGAACCAUCUGUGGAAGGAAUCACAGGGCCAUUCUUUGUGGUCUCCCAGCGCUGCUCCCUCACCCAAACCAUUUUCUACACAACACCCAGAGCCGGGUGUCCCCGAGCCACGCCCCUGCUGAAACGUUUCCUCUCUGCCUCCCAACAGUCCUCAGGGAUCAGGCUGUGUUCCCUGUCUGGCCGUGCUGCCCGCCACCCACCCUCAAUUCGCUCCACUCCAGCUAUGCAGACCUUCUUCUGUCCCGGCCUCAGGGACUUGAUGUUUUCUGGUUCGUCUGUCUGGAAUGCUUUUCCCCCAGCUCUUCAGAUUCUAGCUCCUUCUCAUGAUUUGGCCUUCCCCAGUUGCCACCUCCCCAGAGAGGAGCCACCUGUGACCUACCCACCAAAGCCAACCCCACUCAGUCGCACUCAACCCCACUCACAGCUUCCUGCUUCCCUGUUACCAUGGCACUCACCACUGUCUGGAUUUCCUUACUGAUUCCUGACUUGCUCCUGUAAGACUCUCUCUCCGACUAGAUUGUCAAUUCCAUGAGGGCAGGACCGGGUCUAUCUACCUCCAUGGCAUCCCCCACGCUGAGAAAGUUCCUGGGACUUACUAGGCACCCACUGAGAGCUGCUGAAUGAAUGCAUGCAUACAUCUUUCUCAUUUGGGCAGGAGGAGGCCCAGGGUGGCCCAAGUUCAAGCCAGUGCCUACAGAAGUGUUUGACGUGUUGGGAGCGCAGGGCUGUCCCCAGGAAAUCCUGGGCCAGACGACUUGGGGACAAAGGGGUAAAGUGGGAGCCCUCUAAGCCCUGCCCUCGGAGGGGAGCACUCACCUGUGCCCAUGUAGACAGCGAGGGCUAUGACCAUGGCGGCCGUCACCACCCCACCCCAGGUCUUCACCUCAGGCCGCCGCAUGCUGUUGAAGACGGGAACACUGCUCACGUGGCACUGUCAGGGUGAAGGGCGGGGUCAUGGUGGGCAAGUGACCUCACCCCCAAGGAUAAGGGGCAAGUCCUGGGGCCCCCACUCCGUCCUUCCUUCCAGGACUCCCCCAUCCUGCCUGUAACGUGGAUUCCAUCCCAGGAUGGGGAGUGAGCUAAGGGGACAAAAGGGACCUUGCAACUAGCACCUGAAAUCCGAAGCAGAUGGUGGGCAUGGCAUUGAACACAGCUAUCCAGGAAGCUGGCCUGCGGACAAACACACAAGAUGCUGCUGCCCGGGAGCCCCUCAGAGUCACCAACCGCCGCCAUGCUCUUACUCUUCAUUCAGCCCCCCACGGCCUCCACCAGCCAGCAUGCACACAUUCAACCCACAGAAGUCUGGGGACUGGGAGAGGACACAUCUCCAUUUACAGGUCAGUAAACCGAGGCUCUGGAAGGCCCUCCUGGGACCAAAAUCCAGAACUUUUGGCUCUUGCACUUGGGCUUUUGCUUCUCUGAUUUGUUCCUUUCAAGAAAAAGGAAACUUUUUUUUUUUUUAAUUAAGAAAAUGGAUUCAUCCUCACGUGGAAGAUACAGAUAUUACAGAUAAGCACAUGUUGAAACAGAUGUGCAAUUCCACCUUGGCAGUUUCCAUAACCUGAGGCCUAGUCUCACAUUGGCUCAUCUGUUGGACAUUAGUGGCAAAGUCUCCCUCAUCUCCGGCUGUCACUCUUCUCUCCAGCAAAAAGAGAUCAGGACCUCUUGCCUCCUUCCUAAAAUGACCAAUGAGUCAAUCCCCAGUGAGCUAAUGAGCCUUGGGAAGAGCACCUGUGUGGCUUUUUGAUGCCUGACCCAGCACCUCCUGGGGCCCGAGUGGCAGCUUCUACCCCAUGUGUCUCCCGGGGGCCCUCACCCACCUGUUCAGGAUGUCCGCUGGGGUCAUCUCUUUAUCAGGCCAGAUGUAUUUGAUGAUAACGAUGGCAGUGACAUACCAGGUGCCCACGACGCUCAGGAAGCUGCCAGGAAGGAUAGAUUAAGCUUCUUCCCCCCAUCCCCAGCUGCCUUUUCUCUCAUUCCAUCCCCAGGGACAUCCACCCUUAACUUUAGUGACCACAAGUGUCUAAUGAACCAACUGGGAGACUAUCCCAAACAAAGACUCAAGAAAUGCAUGAGACAUAAGUUUCAGAGAAACAAGCCACAUUUAGGAAGCCAGGAGGGGACCAGACUGACACUUGUGGCCACUGGGAAAUGAGGUGGUUCAGCUCCAUGGCUCAGAGACCACAGCAGGGGGCUGGGCUUCAAAGCACAUCUGCUACUUCAAUCAGAGCAGCCCAGACUUGGCGAGAGGUGCAAGCAGGGCCUUUGAGAAGUAGGAGAUGCUGGAGGGUUGAAGGCACAAAUACUGGGAAGUCAACAUUAAAGGAAAUCUUGGAGACACUGAGUGUGACCCCUUCGAUAAAGGAUCACAGGAAACAGCUUAGAAUCCCACAGCUUUUCAGACUCUGAGCCAGGAAGCUAGUCCCUUCCCUUCAUACCAAGCUGCAUGGAAAAUGCUGCCAGGCUGACAAUCCCAAAUGAUCAAGAGUCCCAUCCUCCGUGGGAAAGACAAGGCCCAGGCUAGGAGACGGCCUUCACACAUGAUUAUCAUGCAUCCCUUCUUUGACAAGGACAUUUGGAACUGAAUCUCUCACUGAUACAAAGAGCCACUGUCUCCCUUGCUACUGACACAAAAGGAAGGUCUUAUGCCGGAACCCCUGCAAGCCCCGGUCUACCCUGCCUUGCCCACUCUUGCUGCCCCAGGAGAUGAGGUGGCAUGGAGCAGAGGGGUUCCCCUGCAGCCCUUGGGUCUCCAGCUGCCUGUGAUCAGAGCUGCUGUCCAGCGCAGGCUGGGGUGGGGCCUCCGAACCUGGCAUAUUUCUGGAAGCCGAUCUCCCUGGGGAUGGAAAGGGGCAGGAUGAAGAGGAAGGCAGUGAGGCUGAUGGUGAACUUGCGGUCUGUGUACCAGGGGCUGCCGCCGGCCCCCUCAGGCUCCUUUGCCAUCACAGCUAUAACUGCACAGGGAGGAAGGAGGGAACGUGAUGCCAGGCUACUGCAGGGUGUGGUCCUCCACCUCUGCUGGGACCUCCAUCUGUCUAAUGGGCCCAGCAGCCAGGAGGGAGGACUCCCAGAUGAAUGCCGGGCCCAGGCCAGGCCUUGGGCAGGUGUUCCAUGCUCUUUCCCACCCACCGCAUGACCCCCAGGGCUGGGGGGGUACUGAGGGGGGACCUCACUCUUGUCCUGCUGGUCCCCGAUGAUGAUGAGGAAGGCGAUGCAGGUCCCGAAGGUGUAGGUGGCAAUGGCCACCUCACACAGCACGCCUGUCAGCUUGCCACACACAGCCCACACCACCUCCUGGUAGGUCCUCUCAUUGCUGGCCUGGGAGCAGUAGGCCAGGAUGACGAGGCCACUGAUGAUGAAAACCAGCAUGGCCUGCGGGUAGGGGCAUAGCAAGAGCGUGUGGGAAAGGCCUGGCAGCAAAGAGCAGCCUGGUCUUGCUCAGCAUUUACUGGCCCGGUGCCCAAUGCCCAUCUGGCAAAUUAGCCUUAUCUUGCAGGGCAAUUUUAAUGGAUUACUGGAGUUGAGAUUUUCUUUAAAAACGAGAAGUUUUGAGGAAAAUUUCAAACAUAUACAAAGGUAGACAGAAUGGUAUAAUGGACCCCUAUGUACCCAUCACUCAAAUUCAAAAAUCAUCAAUUUACAGCCAGUCUUGUUUCAUCUAUUCCCUCUCCCACUCUGGAUUAUUUUGAAGAAAAUACGAGCUAUCAUAUCAUUUCAUCAGUAAAUAUUUCAGCAUGGCUCUAAGGUAUGGGCCUGCUUUUUAAAUGUAACCAUGAAAUUAUUAAAUAUGCAGUCGAUGUCCAAACUUCCCUGAGAGCUGGGAAGGCUUUUGAAGCCUCAUCUGAGCUCAAAGGAAAGAAUGCUGGAAGAGAUUAGUAAUGUCUGCUAUGUGUGAUGGAGGGGAGAGUGGUAGCAUGUGUCUCCAACUGACCACUCCUGAUCCAGAGCCUCCCUUUUGAGGUGAAGAGCCCAGACCCACCACUAGAACUGCACCUUUGCCCGCCAGGCCCGCUCACUCACCAUCUGCAGCGUGAUGCCAGCUGCCACUCCCCCGGCAGUGCUGAAGGCUGCUGGGAAGUUGAGCAGCCCUGCGCCCAGGCAGGCAUUGACAACGAUGAAGAUGGCUCCAAGUGUGGAAGUGGUGCCUCUGCCCAGACCCCCAGGAGGGGCCUCCCCCUCACUCUUGGGGGCUAUGUCCACAGAGGGACUCUGCAGCAGACGGGCACGCUCCCCGGAGUCUGUGCUUAAGCCCCACUCGCCAAGGUCACUGUUGAUGCUGACCUGGGCCAUGGCCCUGGGAGUCCUGUUCCUGCAGGGUCUGUGGGUUCUGUCUCACGACCACAUGCCCUGGGGAGCUGAGGGAACACCUUCAGCUGGAGGGUGCCACCAGCCUGUUUGGGGCUGUUAUCCUAGGAGGCCUGUGGGCUCUGGCUCUCCUCAACCUAGAUGGGAAAGGCAGAUACUACUGUUAUCUCAAGAGACACAGAAAGGUGAAACAACUUUCCCCAGAUCAGAUGGCUGAGAUCCAAACCCGGGUGUGCCGCUGUGCAGAACACUGCACUGGGUGCCACAGUGUGAUGGCAGAGACAGAAAUGUGUCAGAUGUAAUUCCUGCCUGCUUCAGGCCUACAGACCUAUCAGGUAAAUAAGACAUAAACACAGAAGAGAGGGGUACUGAUAUGUCAGCACUAGAGGCCAUGCAUCGGGCAGGAGUGUCAUGGACAUAUCUCAUUCAUUCCUUAUGACAGUGGUCAUAAGGUUCAGAGAGAUCAGAUCACUCAUCCAGGGUCACAAAGUAGCAAGUUGCAAAGCAGGAUUUAGAUCCAGAUCUGUCUGGCUUCCUCAUUUGUUUCUAUACCACAGGGUCACAAGAACAAUCCUCACCCAGAACUGUGGGUAUUUCAAUUUCUUACAGGCCAGCAUACCUCCCUCCAGAGUCUAAAUUCUGUGGAGCUUUCAAAGCCCUUCAAAAUUUAGGCCAAUUCUUACUUUUCUCCCCACAUGCCUGACCUAACCACUGCCCAUCACAGGGACAUCCCCUCCAAUGCCCCUAGCACACUGCGGGGUUUAGAAUGGCUAGCUAGGCCUCUUGGGUAGUCAGAUGCUUGCCAUUGCUCCUCCUGUGAUGGUUGAACAAAGUUGGGAGCCUUAAACUCAUUAGAGAGAAAAGGGGGAGUUUGGAUGCUCUUAGACAUCUGUCACCAAGCCUGCAACCAAGGGACACAGCUCCAGGGGAAAUGUCUCCCUGCUGGCUCCAAGUCCAGAAAGAUCAGUCAGCUGCCACAGGGCUUCCUCUUGUGCAACCUGCCACCCACCUAGCCAGCAACUCGGCAAAAAAUCAAAGCGGUGAGCAGUGGAGGCAGUUUUGGUCUCCCAAGUUUCCAGCGUAGCUCCAGAGAGAGCCCUGCAAAGUUAGCGCUGCUUGAGCGGUGAGACCUUGUCCUCCACCCUGCUCACAUCUCAGACAGAGGUCUCUGCACUGGUCUGAAAUCUCUCAGCCCCCCUCCCCUCAAGCUGCUCUGCUCCAUGGUCCCCAGCUUACCUGCUCUUUCCACCCCUCUGGCUUUGGUGGAGGGACAGCUGCUCUACAGCUCCUUCUCCCCAAAGAUCUGGGAUCUGAUUCUCCUCACUUCCCUCUCUGCCCUCAGUUUCUUCUUUCUCAAACUCUACCUAAAAUUUGUCAGCAGAGAAAGAGUCAGCUGUUUCUGUGCGGGCCAGCAGAGUGAAGGGAACUGAGGCGCUCUAACUCACGGAGUGGAGCAGCAGCUCAGUUAGGGAAACAGGCCCACGGAGGGAAAGAGACUAGACUAAUGUCACAGCGGCUCGUCGGCAGAGCCAGAACUAGAACCCUGAUGCCCACACGCUCAGGCCAGAGCUAUAACCACUGCAGUAGGCCCCUCGGAUCCCAACCGGAGCAGGUUCCCAGGCCAGCCUGGGGCCGGAUCC